This 253-nucleotide ribosomal RNA is filed under the name uncultured bacterium. Its description in RNAcentral is "partial 16S ribosomal RNA". It matches the Rfam family "Bacterial small subunit ribosomal RNA", at positions 524 to 776 of the family's 1533-position model. The record is from RNAcentral.
UACGAAGGGUGCAAGCGUUACUCGGAAUUACUGGGCGUAAAGCGUGCGUAGGUGGUUCGUUAAGUCUGCCGUGAAAGCCCCGGGCUCAACCUGGGAAUGGCGGUGGAUACUGGCGGACUAGAGGGCGGUAGAGGGUGGUGGAAUUCCCGGUGUAGCAGUGAAAUGCGUAGAGAUCGGGAGGAACAUCGGUGGCGAAGGCGGCCACCUGGACCAGCACUGACACUGAGGCACGAAAGCGUGGGGAGCAAACAGG